GUGUGUGAAGUCCAGCGGCGAGGACAGUGGGCUGUAACCCCAUACAAUGAUACAUCGUAGGUUCGAGUCCUACCUCACUCACCA
This 84-nucleotide transfer RNA is filed under the name Pseudomonas phage M5.1. RNAcentral describes it as "tRNA-Tyr". It matches the Rfam family "tRNA". Rfam says of the family: Transfer RNA (tRNA) molecules are approximately 80 nucleotides in length. The record is from RNAcentral. Lineage: Duplodnaviria; Heunggongvirae; Uroviricota; Caudoviricetes; Vandenendeviridae. RNAcentral also lists the same sequence under 1 other name.